Non-coding RNA from Methyloversatilis sp. RAC08, 363 nucleotides. It matches the Rfam family "transfer-messenger RNA". From Rfam's summary of the family: Bacterial tmRNA, also known as 10Sa RNA or SsrA, is named for its dual tRNA and mRNA-like properties. Its role is to liberate the mRNA from a stalled ribosome. To accomplish this part of the tmRNA is used as a reading frame that ends in a translation stop signal. NCBI's taxonomy places the organism in Bacteria, Pseudomonadati, Pseudomonadota, Betaproteobacteria, Nitrosomonadales, Sterolibacteriaceae. The record is from Rfam.
GGGGGCGACCUGGUCUCGACGUGGGUCGCGAAGCAGCGCAGGGCAUACCGAGGGUCGGAGCACCUCGUAAAUCCAACCGAAAAUUAGAUAGUCGCCAACGACGAAUCUUACGCUCUGGCCGCUUAAGGCCGGACGCUGCACCGACUGAUUAGCGGGUCGGGCCGGGCAACCGGUCGCAGCGCCAUUAACAGCUAAAGUAAGGAUGCACUCCGCCGCGUGGUGCAUCACGAAAACCUAGCGGAUCGCCUUUCAUCAGCCUGCCGGGUCGGCGGGUGACGGGUUAGACCAAAUGGCCAGGCUAAGUAUGUAGAACUGUCUGUGUAGGGCUUGCGGACGCGGGUUCGAUUCCCGCCGCCUCCACCA